Molecule: long non-coding RNA, 3185 nt
Organism: Piliocolobus tephrosceles (Ugandan red Colobus)
Lineage: Eukaryota; Metazoa; Chordata; Mammalia; Primates; Cercopithecidae
Exons: 4
Source: RefSeq, a predicted model, not a curated record
CCCCCCAGUGGAGGCCUCUUAAAGAAACAGGACGCCUUUCCCCCGCGGGCUACAGGGUCUGAAGGAACAAUAUUGUUUUAGCCUGGAUUCUCCAGAAAACAGAGCCUUUGGCAAGUUUGUAUGCUAACAACUUGCUGGGGAGUGCAACCUUGGAGAAACCAGAUUGAGAGAAAAAUGAGGCAAGAAGAAGAAGUGCAAAGAUAAGAGGCAUUACUGAGAGGACCCAAGUUUUGUAAUUAAUGGAGGUAACUGCUUGGACUCACAGUACAUCUUCAGAUCUUCAGAGAAGUUGUAUGAACUCCCUGUCUUGGAACAUCCUCAGGAGGAGAAACUGGAACACACUUUUUUCUCCUGCCUUUGGACACCGGAACUGUAGGUUCUCCAGGCUUUCCAGCCUCUGGACUUAACACCAGUCUCUGGACUUACAACAGAAGGCCCUGGAUUCUGAAGCCUUUGGCCUCAGACUGAGAAUUAUACCAGCAAUUUCCUGGUUCUGAGGUUUUUGGGCAGCCAUGCUACCAGCAUCCCAGUGUUUCCAGGAGAAGGCCUGUUGUGGGACUUCUCAGCUUCCAUGAGCAUGUAAGCUUGGUUAAAAGAACUCCAGAUGGCCUGGGAGCUACAGCACUCUUUGCCAAUUAUCAGAGGAAGAUAAGGCCUGUGUGAAACCAGGGCAAACCUGAACCAGCGACCCCGUGUUACCUUUAGAUCAUUAACAUAUCAUCAUAAUGCUAAAGCCUCACCCAUAGAAGAUAAUUGCUGCCAUUUUCUGAAUAUACAUUAUGUGAAGAAGCAUGUUCAUGAUCUGCACCUGCACGUCUGGAGUUCCUCCCUACACGUGUUUACCUACCUCCCUGCCCCACAUCUAACUCCUUAAAAUCCCCCAGGUUCUCGUAUCUCAGGGAGAAGGAGACUUUAGAGAAAGAGCUCCCUCCUCUGUUCCUGGCCAGGAAAAAACCUGCUUGCCCCUUUUCCCAAUUAGGUGUUACAGUAGAACUCACUUACCCUGUAACAAUAAGAAUUGCAUUAAAUCCUUAUAUCAACUUGGGAAGAAUUGACAGAUUUACCAUAUUAAGUCUUCUAAUCCAUAAGUAUGUUCAUUCAUUUUUUUAGAUUUUUGAAAUUUCUUUCAUCAGCAAUUUUGUAGUUCUUUGCCUCACUAUCUGGAUCCCAAAUAUUUUCUCCUAUGUUUUUUUUUUUUUCUGAGUUUUCUCUCUUACAAUUUAAACCUGAGUAGUUCUCAGCAUGCAAGCCCUGUACAUGUUUUGUUGGAUUUAAAUUUAAGUAUUUUGUUUUUUGAUACAUUGUAAAUGCUACUGUAUUUUAAACUUCAGUGCCCAUGUGUUCAUUGCUAGUAUAAAGAAAUACAACAUAUUCCAGCAGUCUAGCUGAACUCACUUAUCAGCUCUAGGAAUUUUUGUUUUUGAUUCUAUUUUUGGUAGAUCUUUGAGUUUUCCUACUUAGAUAAGCAUGUUAUCUGCAAAUAGGGACAGUUUUAUUACUACCUUUCUGAUCUGUAUGCCUUUUAUUUCCUUUUCUUACCUUAUUGCAUUGGGUAGAACUUCUAACACUGUUUAACAAUAAUGGUAAGAGCAAUCAUCCUUGCCCUGUUCCUGUUCUCAGGGUACAGUCAUUCACUCUUUCACUAUUAAGUAUGAUGCUGGCUGUGGAGUUGUCAUAGAUGCUCUUUAACAAGUUAGGACAAAUUCCCUCUAUUUCUAUUUUUCUGAGCAUUUUUAAACCCAUGAAUGGGUAUUUUGUCAAAUGCUUUUUCUGUAUUGAUUGGUAAGAUCAAUUUUCUUUUGUAUCCAGUUAAUAUGUUGGAUUAUGUUGACUGAUUUGUGAACAGUAAAACAGCCCUGCGUUCCUGCAGUAAGCCUCACUUUGUUACAAGAUCUUUGGGGUGUUGCUUUUCUGGCCAGAAACCUCUGUGGCCAGUGGCCCCUUUGCCCAAGUUUUGUUUGGGCCCACUGGGCUCCUUCUGCCCACUUGGCCUGGAAGGCUGUGCUCAGCUCAUGCUACCAGCCUGGAUCCCACAUCUGCCAAAGGCAAGUCAGGCAUGGAGUGGCAAGGGGUGUGAGAGCAAGUGUGGGGUCUGGUCACUGUGCAGUCACACAUGUCAGCUGCUGCAGUGGGGUGGGCAGCUCCAGGUGAGGCCUCUGUGAGGCUGUGGCUGGGCCAGGCACACUGCACGCAGCUUCCACAGCUGGAACCGGGGGAACACAGUGGUGCCUGGAAGCUUGGAGAUGCCAGGAACCACGGGGCUCCCAAAAAGGAGUCAUAGACCGGGCUUGGGGAGCUCCAAGGUCUGGGAUCCCCUAAGGGCCACAGCUGUUCUUUCUUUCUCUUCACCCUCAAUGUAGUGAGCAAGGGGCAUGUUUCAACCCUGUUUGUGUUACAGCCCUUUUAGCCCCGCCAUUCAAUGGGUCCCAAGUUCUUGUCCUAUAACCAGGAAGAAUGAGAUAUGCAGACAAGUGGAGGCUCUGAGCAAGAUGAAAAGGAGCUUUAUUGAGUGAUAGAACAGUUGAGAGGAAACCUGCAGUGGGUAACUCCUUUCCACAGCCAGGGUGUCCUGAUGAGUGUUCAGCUCCUAGCAAAGAGGAGACCCUGGAGUGGGAAGCUCCUCUUUGCUUGCAGGUGGUCCCAUUGUCUCUGCAGCUCUCAGCAGAGAGUAGGCUCUGGAGUGGGUAGCUCCUCUCUGCUGUUGGUCAUCCAAGUGUCUGCUCAGCUCUGGUUGAGCCCAGCGGUAUUAUGGGCUUCAGAGAGGGAAAAGUGUAUGCCAGCUGGUCCAUGGGUAGCCAUGGGCAGGCCCAGAAAAGGCACCACAAGCUCCCACUCUGGUCUGUGGGGCUGGCAGCCCGACUCCAGCCUUCAGGCCCUCCUUGGCCUGAAGGUGGGGCCUCACUGGGGAUCUGCCCCCUUCUGCCCCAGAGCCUAUCGGCCUCCUGCCACUGUCCAUGGCACCCAGGCUGCUCACAGCAAGGGGCACCUGCAGGCCAGCGCAAGCCACCCUCAACUUGGUCAUUGUGUAUACUUUUUUUUACAUUGUUGAAUUCUACUUGCUAAUUUUAAAAAAUGUUGCAUCUAUAUUCAUGAUAUUAGUCUUUUGUUUUUUGUACUAUCUAUCUUUUUUUUUGGUUUGAGUACUAGCUUUUAGUACUAGCUUCACAAAAUAAAUGGGAAAGUCU